This is a long non-coding RNA of Zalophus californianus (California sea lion), 2061 nucleotides long. RefSeq lists it as uncharacterized. NCBI's taxonomy places the organism in Eukaryota, Metazoa, Chordata, Mammalia, Carnivora, Otariidae. The record is from RefSeq and is a predicted model, not a curated record. The transcript has 3 exons.
UCUUUCUCAAAUCACGCCCGUGACUAUGAGACAGAGGGGUGGCCGCCCCAGGUGAGCCGUGCUGCCAUCACGAUGUUACCAGAUUCGAGGCUUUCUCCUAAGAUAUUUUCAAACACAGAGUACUUUUUAAAGUACUCACUCCUUUAUUUGCCAUUUGUAGAAAGCCCAGUGAGCACUUGAGCAGGGUGAAGAAAGUGCAGACUGUUCUUCAUUCGUAAGAAUACUCUGAUAACCCCGGCAAAGUGUGGAGUAAGCCGAGAAAGAAGCAAGCACUGGAGUCCUGCCAGCCCCUGGCCCAGCUUCUUGAUGGCUGUACCAGAUGUCUGAAUCAACCUCGGCAGAAGGGCCAGGUGUUCUUUUAAAUUUGAAAUUACAAGCAGAAACAUAAGACCUUUUUAUGUCUUCUUUGAAGAAACAGUUAGAGGAUAAAAAAGCGGCAGCCGUCGACCUGACUUGGAUUGAGACUUCUCAGCCAAAUCCCAGUGAGAAAACCAUUUCCCUUUCCCGCUCUGAGGGAGUGGGGGGGUCCCCAUGGUCGCAGACCUCUGCCCUCUCUUCCUGACCACAGAGAAGUGCUCAGCCGAUCAAAGAGGACAAAUGCUCCAAGGAGACCACUCUGCCUCCCCACCUGGAGGACAGGCACACCUCCCAGGGGACCUGUUUCCUCUGGACUUUCUCAAGGGGCAUGACAGGAUCUUAAAAAAUGUCUGGGCUUGAAAGGCAAAAAGUCAACCUUCAGAUUUGUGUUCAGGAAGAAAGAAGACAGGCUGGUCAAAAUUAUAUCCACUAGACAUGCAGUCAGUGAGCCGGUGUGCUUUUUAAUAAGCCAACAAACAUAAAAAACAAGACGUGAUGCCGUCCAUUGGCUGGAUUAGAAACAAGGACACUGCAAAAGAAUUUACCAAAGGAGGCUUUGAAUGGAUCUACUCUCCUUCCAAUAGACUGUUCUGUCUGUUGAAUACAUUCUUCAGAGGAUCAGAAAUGCUUUUUCACCCAGGACCUAGAACAUCUGGAGCAAAAGCAGUGCUCAAGGGCCUCCAAACUGCAUAAGCUUCAGCAUGUGUGGAAGUUUGGAGCCUAAAAGAAGUAGGGUAUGAUUAACAGCAUCCAAAUGGCCCCUGAAAGGUCCUAGUCGCCCGGUACUGAUGUUCCUAUGGAAUUGAUUUCUCCUGAAUGUGGCUUGGACUUGGAGACCAACUUCUAACAAAUAAGCUUGGACAAAAGUGAUGGGAUGUCACUUUGGAAUUUACAUUAUAAAAAGAAAACAAGACUAUACUUUUCUAUUGGGUGUCUCUCUCUCUGAAGGAAGCUGCUGACAUGUGAUCAGCCCUAUGGAGAGAUGCACAAUAGCCAAGACCUGAUGUCUCUGGCUCAUAGACAGAUUGCACCUGAGGCCUGCCAACAGCAACCAUGUAAGUAUGCUUGGCAUGGAAUUGUUCCCCCUCUGUGAGCCUUGAGAUGCAGCCUGACAAACACCUUCAUCAUCCAAACUUGUGCAAGACCUGAGACAUAGGCAUCCAGCUAAACCACACCCAGAUUCCUGAGCCACAGAAAUUGUGAGAUUCUAAAUGCUGUUUGGAGUAGCUAGGUUGUCGAGCAAUUUGUUAUGUACUAAUAGAUGAUUAAUAUAUUGGGGAAAGAUAAAGAUAAUUUAAUCAACUUGUUAAAUCCUUCUUCUCAGAUAGCGUGGAAGGAAUAUUGUCUUGUUUAAUGAAAUACCAUUUCCUGAUACUGCUGAAAAUCCAUUUCCUUGUUUCUCUUUAUGUUCUGAUACAGGGCUCUGGGAUACUCAUGAAUAAGCAUAAUACCCACGUUUGCCCUUAGUAGUUGCUGAACAACUCAUAAUAUUAAAGAAUUUGCAUUGUUCUUAAAUUUGUAUGUAUGUGGCUUUAGGUGAAACAUAUAUGAAAUGUGAUAAGCUUCUUUUCACUGUAGACUAGACAGAUACUAAAUGUUAGAAUUAGGGAAUUUUACUUUUUAAAAAACAUUUUAAAACAUUUUCUUCUGUAUUUGAUAACAUUUUUAAAAUUCAGCUUUAAAUAAAUUUCAGUGUAAAAUCAA